UACGAAGGGUGCAAGCGUUAAUCGGAAUUACUGGGCGUAAAGCGCGCGUAGGUGGUUCAGUAAGUUGGAAGUGAAAUCCCCGGGCUCAACCUGGGAACUGCUUUCAAAACUGCUGAGCUAGAGUACGGUAGAGGGUGGUGGAAUUUCCUGUGUAGCGGUGAAAUGCGUAGAUAUAGGAAGGAACACCAGUGGCGAAGGCGACCACCUGGACUGAUACUGACACCGAGGUGCGAAAGCGUGGGGAGCAAACAGG
RNAcentral lists this ribosomal RNA (253 nucleotides) under uncultured bacterium. RNAcentral's name for it is "partial 16S ribosomal RNA". It matches the Rfam family "Bacterial small subunit ribosomal RNA", at positions 524 to 776 of the family's 1533-position model. The record is from RNAcentral.